AAUUGGUUUAUAAUUUUAUUCGAGUUUAUUAAUAAAUUGUAUUGUUGCUUGAUUAUAAUGAAAGUGGAGUGAGCUCAGAUUUGUAGCUUUUCGAAGUGGACUGUAUGCGUGAUUCUGGUAUUGAUGAAUACUCAGCGUGAUGAUAAGCACAGCGACAGAUCUGAUGGUGCAGAGCGAUGGAUUGUAGUCUCGUACAAGCUCCUUUGAAUCUCGUGCGUUCUCGUACUGACUCGUUCAAUGCUCGUAAUUUUUCGUUCAAUUCUCGUAAUUUCUCGUUCGCAGUGAUUAAGCAGCAGCUGUUGGGAAUAAUAUGUCGUUAAUGGCUUGCUCGGAUGUUAGAAAGGUAGCUGCAGAUAAGCUUAGGAGUCAGAAGAUAACGUUACAGGUUUCGCGAGCCAUGAACUGGCGUUGCGAGAAGCUCAAGCCGGAUCAUCAGGUCAGAAAUAGAGUAGACAGGUACGAGAGUGCAAGAAUAUCUCGAGAUGCUUAUCUCGACCAGUCAGAUCAUGAUGCGACCGAAUAAGUUAAGGAGCUGAUGUUGUUUGCUAGGGCAUCUGACGGAUCACAAGGUAUCGAUCCCCAAUUCCUUUUAAUAGGACAUGGACAAACGAUCGUAGAAAAUCAAGGGAAACAAAUAAUUCAAUUGAAUAAUUUCAUAAAAAAACUUUUAUUUAUUGAGCAAUAAUUAUUGGAAUUCACACCAUUGACAAUAUUAAUUAAUAAUUAAUAAUUAACAAUACAUCUCUGGCAAGAUUCAUGUUAUUAAAUACAAAUAAACAUAAACAAUAGUGUAAAAGAUACAACAAGAAAAAGAAAUAUUAACUAUCACAAUCGAGAGUUUCAAAUUCCGCACACUUUGGGCCAUACAUAUAUAUAUGUGUGUAUACCCAAUGUUUCUGGUAUGUUGUUGAUAAUUAUUAUUUCGAAAUUCAAGAAAUAUCAAUUUAUCUGUAUAAUAUAAAGUGUAUGUGCGAGAAAUAGCCGACAAAGUUAUUUAUUGACAAAACUACUCAUUAUUAAUUCUCAAGUUUAUUCUCAUUAAAAAUGAAAAAAACGAGCAUAUUUUAUUACUCAUUACAAUAAUAAAUAUUUGGCCAAUGUCGCGGAAUUAUUUUUAAAAAUAUUUAUAAAAUUAAAUAUUCCCUAUAAGUUGUAUUUAUGAGUACAUGAUAUACCGAUAAAAAAUGAAUUAUUUAGAUCUCACAUAACGGAUAACAUCUGACAAUAAUAUUUAUAUGAAUGAAUAAUAUUAAGUUGCUUCAUUAUCCUUGACUAAAAAAAAAAAAAAUACAUAUAUAUAAACGGCAAGAUUUAUUGUCACUUAACAUGUAGCUUUUUCUUAUUUAACGGAACUAAAAGUUGAUACAAAAGUCUGCUUUUAAUAUGAUUCAAAAAUUUAUAACUGACAGUU
Microplitis mediator is the source of this 1411-nucleotide long non-coding RNA. RefSeq lists it as uncharacterized. Lineage: Eukaryota; Metazoa; Arthropoda; Insecta; Hymenoptera; Braconidae. The record is from RefSeq and is a predicted model, not a curated record. The transcript is spliced from 2 exons.